Molecule: long non-coding RNA, 539 nt
Organism: Xiphophorus hellerii (green swordtail)
Lineage: Eukaryota; Metazoa; Chordata; Actinopteri; Cyprinodontiformes; Poeciliidae
Exons: 2
Source: RefSeq, a predicted model, not a curated record
CUGUAACAGAGGAGGGGCGAAAUUCUCCUGAAGAAUGUCUCUGGCUGCUGAGAGCAGAGCUCAACAAUCUCUGACUUGUUUUUCUUUCUUUGUCUGAGAAAAAAAAAAAACUUACCUCCCACUUCUUUGCAGCCUUGGGCUUGCUGGCCCAGGGCUGCUGCAACACCCAGAUGUGUUCCGGCCUUCUCCACGACACCACAUGUCUAUCGGCGAACUUCCUCAACUCUGGCGUCAGCGGCGUCGGUUGAUGAAGAAGCUGUCCACUCCUCCUCUCUGAGCAUCUGUUGAAGAGGCCUUACUGUUCUUCCUCUGUGGUUUUCCACAAACGGUAGCUCAGGUAGCCACUUCCUGCGUAGCACAGUGUGGCCAGAAAUGCAAAGAACUGAAAGCAGAAAGGAUUUGAAGGCGAAAAGACAAACAAGGGUUUACGUAAAUUCUGAAAGGUACAAACACGUUUUUUAACAAGAAGAAAAAUGUGUCCACAAUCAAAGAACCGAUAAAAUGUCCACUUUUCCAGAAGAGAACAGCUCUCUGACCAA